AGGUGGGAAAUUAUAGGUGCUACCUACUUCAAAGGCCUUGGCAGCCAGGGCUCCUCUUUGAUAGAUGACAGUAUUGUUAAUGGUGAUUUAUUGCCGGGACCAUUUUGACAACAGAAAUAACCAGUUUCCCCACCUUCUUUCUUGGCUCCCUCCCCCCAACACCUUGUGGUGCCUUUUUUUUUCCCCUGAGCUGGGGUAGGAUGGAGGUUACCUCCCUUACCAGGAGGCUCCGGGCAUCUGUUGAAUGCACACAGUGAGGUAUCUGGCUUAUUAACUUGUCAUCGGGUGUCAUAAAGUUUAGUGACAUGCUGGCAGUGUAUAAUCCUAAACAGGGCAAUUACCCUGUGAUUACAGCAGCUUUCUCUUGCUUCCUUCUCCCUCUCCCUUCUGGGUCUCUCUGCCUGUCUUCUGGGUUGUGUAGUUCUUAUCUUACCUCUACCUGCCUCAGUCAGAACAGAAGUCAAGCCGUUUUGCAAUUCCAGAGUGAACCAGGCUUUGGCUAGGCACAGCGUGGAGGAGCUAGGGCCUCUUGCUGCUGCCAGAGUUGUGGAGCGAGGUUGCUGGGCCAGGGGCAGUGGCUAGCAGGGGUUCCACUGGGUUCUGCUCCUAGGCAGUGGGGUUGGAACCAGGGGUAGAAAAUAAAAGACGGAGGUGGCAGAGGCGCAGUGGGGACCUGGACACAACGACACGAAACGGGCUGAACUGUGUCUCCGCGUCCGCUGCCCCCGUAGUUGCGGCCGUUGCCCAUGAGCGAGGACUGUCAUUCCUGCCUUGUUUAUAUGACACAGGUUUAGAGAAGAGCCAAUCAGAUAGUGGGUAGGGAAGAGAACCGCCGCCGCCACUCAGGGGGUGACUGCCACCUCGCACAACAUGCCACAGGGGUUAUUUCUGUCUAACCGAGCCCCUGCUCUUAUUCCAGAGGAGCAGAAGUGAUACUCUGACCAACCACAGGCGGCACCUACGAGGACGGCCCCAUUAACUAUAUUGCCUGGUGACGUCACGGCCAUCUGAGUUCCUGGGGCUGACUCCAGAUGCUGCUUGCAUGAUGGGGAAGCCACGUGACAUUUGUCAGCCCCCGCUCCUCCCGAAGGGCUGCCUGUUUGUCAACAGGAAUGUAUUCCGUUUCUUGAGGCUGUGAUGACCCUGGUUUCUUAAUCUUCCUGGCAGAAGACGCAUGAGAACUAAGAACUCUAAGGUUCAAGUGUCUGACACAGGCUGUUUCUGAACCCCCACUGUGGACCUGGUAUGGUACCACCUGCAGGGUGGCGAGGACGAGGGACACCAUUCUAACCGUGCGGAACUCAAGCCUCGGGCCGCACACAAGGCAGAGGAAGAGACUUCUGCUGCAGAGCUGGGCCUCCCAGCCGUGGUGUGCUUUCUGUGGCUUACUUCGAGCGUUGGGUGGCGUGCAGGGAGAUCGAACUGAGAACGCGUACCGGUGGAACUUGCUGGAAAUGCAAAGAGGGCAGAAGAGGUUUAGAAGUCGUCUGAGGCUUUGCAUCGGAGAGAAAAAGAGAUAGAGAUGCUUUAGAAAGGACUCCGGGAGCUUGGCAUGAGGUUGGGGCAGAGACGGACAUGCAGAGGCCCCAACACUGGGUGCCACCUGAAGAUCCUGAAGAGGUAAAGAAGAUCCAAGGCAGUGCCGCUGCUUUCCCCUGCCAUGUGUGUGUGGUGGGGAGUUGGUGGUAAUGGAUUUUCUUCUGCGUGCGUGCGAGAGAGAGAGAGAGAGAGAGAGAGAGAGAGAGAGAGAGAGAGAGAGAGAGAGAGAGAUAUUCUGAUGUUAAGGCACUGACUCUACCUCCCCUGGGGACUUUGCCAGGUCAAGGUACAGGUCACAGCUUCAUUUUGCCCUCUGGAAAGUUAAAAAAAAAAAAAAAAAAAAGAUGGCAUGGUUUUCUCUGUGCUGGCAAUUUCAGGCACCUUGACUUAAUUAGCCACCAACCAACUGUGUGAUCUUGUACAAGUCGCUUCAUCCCUGUGCCUCAUCUGAAAAGCAAGGUAGGACCACUGCACUGGGUUGCUACUAAAUAGUAGAGUGAUGUCAUGGACAGUAGGUAUUUUGUAAACUUGACCGUGAUAUACACAGGUUACUGUGUGUGCUUUGAUAAGGAUUCGGAUCCUGUUAUCUGAAUAUCGACCCUCUUCUCUAAGCAAAAGGUUUCUGACUCUGGACUGCCUGCAGGGACCAGCCGCUUGGUUUAUUGAGCAGGAUGGGCCCCUAUUAGGGAGAUCUCUGCUCUUGUACACACACACACACACACACACACACACACACACACACACACACACACACUCGUUACUGAGGAUCGUACUACACUCCCUCCUACCCCAGGAGGGCACUGCUCCCAGUUCUGUAUGGAAGCGCCUUACCCAGCCUGGCCUUGGCCAGCCCAUCUGGGCAGACCUUAGAGGGGUCUAACCUGAAAGGCAGCUUUUGAUAACACAGACUCAAGAUAAGAGGGCUAGGUGGGCGGAGCCCUCUCUCUCCUUGGAUUGAUAACCCGCUGUGUAGCAUCAGUUCUGGAAUUGCUAAAUCCACCCUUACCCCGCCGCCGUGGGAGAUUGCAGCUGCACAUCUUAUCUGAACAGAGGCCAUUUCGUGAGCACGCGUGGGUGUGUGCAGAGCGGAGGGGAAAGGAAGUGUUGCCAAACCUCCAGGCUGUUCAGUCAGUCCCCCCCCAUCCCCCACCCCCGCUCCUUCCCAUUCCCAGGUAUAUCGGUGUGCAGCCUAAGGAUGGGCUGUGCCCUCUGAAGCACACUUUAGGUGAUUUUUGUCCCGAACCAUCAUGGAGUGUCAGUCACCUGACACAGCCUCUUGAAGCCACUGAGAGACACUAUCGCCAUGAGAUAUCUGUGAAGCCGCUGUUGGUGUCACCCAGCCUGUUCUUUGGCAGAGCACAUACUGAAGCAAUGAAAAAGUCAGUUUAACGAACGCAAACUCAGUAACAGAGCUGUUUGUGGUUACCAAGCACCAUGUACUGUGGAUGUUAUACGUCCAUUACUAACACCAGCCGUCCCACCAUUUUGCCCUGAUGUUACAACGGCUACAGUGUCUCUAAGUGUUGGAGACUCUCAGCUUCAUUGUAUCCUUUUAAGACAGCCAUUCAGGCAUGUGGAUUUUCAUUGACGAAAAUGUCACAAUGGGUUUAGCUUAGACAUGUAUGGGUUUUCUGUAGGGCCUAGUAGAUAGACCUCAUGAAACAUCGGUGGUGACGGUGACAGUGAUGUCCCCUUAAGUCAGGCUCUUGAAUGCUCCCUCAGAGACCUCAUGCUAUAGGCUCAGCUCCUGACCCUGACUUGGGACAUGGUGGGACCUUGAUAAGUGAGGCCUCGUGGCAGGAAGUUAAGUCAUUAGGGUGUGUCCUCAAAGGGGAUUUGAGGGAUGAUGGUGUCUUUGCUUCCCGGCUGCCAUAAGUUGAGUGGGACUUCUUUGCCACACACUUCUACCAUGAUAUUCUUUCUGUCUCAAUGACAGGCCUCCAAACAGCGGAGCCCACUGACCAUAGAUAGGAAUUCCCAAGUUUUUAGUUCUUCCUUUUAAGUAGAUUUUAGCUGACAUUUUUUUUUUUAUCACAGAAGUGGAAAACUAACAACAAUGAAGAUUCUAGCUUGGGAAAGGGACCCUGUGCGUGCAUGUAUGUGUGUGAGUAUGGGUGUGUAGUCUGGAUAUGAACCUUGGGUGCUCUCUACCUAUUGUUUGAGUCAGGGUCUCUUCCCUGGGACCUGAGACUUAUUGAUUAGGCUUGGUUUGUUGGCCAGCGACGCUCAGGGAUCUGCCUAUCUCUGCCUUCCCAGUGCUGGGAUUAUAAACACAUGCCACCAUAUCUAGGAAAGCGCUUUACUAAUUGUGCUAUAGCCUCUUUAGUAAGUACCAAUUGAUCCAUCUCUCUAGCCCUUUGGUAAGGUCUAUUUAAUUCAGCUAGUGUUUAGCAUAUGCUUAUUCUUUCUCAGGGCUAGGAAUGUUAUUAUUUGGGAAAUAUAUGUAAGGGGAGAACAUGAAGGACAGGGUGGACUCUUCUUUAGAGCCUUGGUAAGUCCAGGUUGGCCCUCAAACCUGCCUGGCUCUCUGACUCAGUGUUGCCCUUUGCUGCUGACAAAGGUCAGGAUGGAGGUUAGGCCUGAGCAGAAGUGGUGGCACAGAGAUGAGCAGGUUGAGCUCCCCUGCAAGGACAGGGACGGGGAGGGACUGGGAUAGAAAGCGGAGCCUGUGGUCUCAUAGCUUUAACCUGGGCACCGGGAAGGUCCAAGUAGAAAUGCAUGCCCUGGCUGCCUUCUUGGAGGGAAUGGGUGUUAGAGCUCACAGGGACCCAAGCAGGGGUGUGCUGUGGGAUGGUCUGUAUGUCAAAUAAAACACUGAUUGGCCAGCGGCUAGGCAGGAAGUAGGUGGGACAAGGAGAGAGGAGAAUUCUGGGAAGCA
Peromyscus maniculatus bairdii (prairie deer mouse) is the source of this 4417-nucleotide non-coding RNA. The record is from RefSeq and is a predicted model, not a curated record. Lineage: Eukaryota; Metazoa; Chordata; Mammalia; Rodentia; Cricetidae.